CCUAGCGGCAGACGGGUGCGUAACAUGUGGGAAUCUGCCUUUUGGUUCGGAACAACACGGGGAAACCUGUGCUAAUACCGGAUAAGUCCUUACGGAGAAAGUUUUAAUGCCAAAAGAUGAGCCCGCACUUGAUUAGCUAGUUGGUAAGGUAAUGGCUUACCAAGGCAACGAUCAAUAGCUGUUCUUAGAGGAUGAACAGCCACAUUGGAACUGAGACACGGUCCAAACUCC
RNAcentral lists this ribosomal RNA (231 nucleotides) under uncultured bacterium. RNAcentral's name for it is "partial 16S ribosomal RNA". It matches the Rfam family "Bacterial small subunit ribosomal RNA", at positions 91 to 339 of the family's 1533-position model. The record is from RNAcentral.